GUAGGGAAUAUUGGACAAUGGGGGGAACCCUGAUCCAGCCAUGCCGCGUGGAGGAAGACUGCCCUCUGGGUUGUAAACUCCUUUUAUAUGGGAAGAACCGUCCUCAUUAAUGAGUGACCUGACGGUACCAUAGGAAUAAGCACCGGCUAACUCCGUGCCAGCAGCCGCGGUAAUACGGAGGGUGCAAGCGUUAUCCGGAUUCACUGGGUUUAAAGGGUGCGUAGGCGGAUAAAUAAGUCAGUGGUGAAAUCAACGGGCUCAACCUGUUAACUGCCAUUGAUACUGUGUAUCUUGAAUAUGAGAGGGGUAGGCGGAAUGUUGCAUGUAGCGGUGAAAUGCUUAGAUAUGCUACGGAACACCGAUUGCGAAGGCAGCUUACUAUUUCGUAAUUGACGCUGAGGCACGAAAGCGUGGGUAGCGAACAGGAUUAGAUACCCGGGUAGUCC
This 446-nucleotide ribosomal RNA is filed under the name uncultured bacterium. RNAcentral's name for it is "partial 16S ribosomal RNA". It matches the Rfam family "Bacterial small subunit ribosomal RNA", at positions 354 to 796 of the family's 1533-position model. The record is from RNAcentral.